AGUAACGGCGAGUAAAGCGGCAACAGCUCAAAUUUGGAAUCUGGCGCAAGCCCGGGUUGUAAUUUGUAGAGGAUGCUUUUGGUGCGGUACCUUCCGAGUUCCCUGGAACGGGACGCCAUAGAGGGUGAGAGCCCCGUACGGUUGGAUGCCUAGCCUCUGUGAAACUCCUUCGAC
Molecule: ribosomal RNA, 174 nt
Filed under: Clonostachys sp.
Lineage: Eukaryota; Fungi; Ascomycota; Sordariomycetes; Hypocreales; Bionectriaceae
Description: partial large subunit ribosomal RNA
Rfam family: Eukaryotic large subunit ribosomal RNA
Source: RNAcentral